This 253-nucleotide ribosomal RNA is filed under the name uncultured bacterium. RNAcentral describes it as "partial 16S ribosomal RNA". It matches the Rfam family "Bacterial small subunit ribosomal RNA", at positions 524 to 776 of the family's 1533-position model. The record is from RNAcentral.
UACAGAGGGUGCAAGCGUUGUUCGGAAUUAUUGGGCGUAAAGCGCGUGUAGGCGGCUUUGCAAGUCGGGUGUGAAAGCCCUCGGCCCAACCGAGGAAGUGCGCCCGAAACUGCAGAGCUUGAGUACCGGAGAGGGUGGCGGAAUUCCCCAAGUAGAGGUGAAAUUCGUAGAUAUGGGGAGGAACACCGGUGGCGAAGGCGGCCACCUGGACGGAUACUGACGCUGAGACGCGAAAGCGUGGGGAGCAAACAGG